RNAcentral lists this ribosomal RNA (729 nucleotides) under uncultured fungus. RNAcentral's name for it is "eukaryotic LSU rRNA". The stretch from base 471 to 729 matches the Rfam family "Eukaryotic large subunit ribosomal RNA", at positions 1 to 258 of the family's 3401-position model. The record is from RNAcentral. Lineage: Eukaryota; Fungi.
UUGUGAGAUGAUUUUAAUUAAAAUUGUCUUGCAAAUAUUAAUCCGCUGGCCUCGCAAGGGGCUGGUUGAUAUAUAAAUGUGUGUAGUGUUGACAGUGUGUGAUAUUUAAUUAAUUAUUGACAACUUUUAACAAUGGAUCUCUAGGCUCUUGCAUCGAUGAAGAACGCAGCAAAAUGCGAAACGUGAUGCGAUUUGCAUGAAUCUGUGAGUCAUCUAAUCUUUGAACGCGAAUGGCACUGUUACGUAAGUAGCAGUAUGUCUGUUUGAGAAUCGCAAAACACGAUCAACUCUAGUUAGAGUUGGGAUUGACCUCAUGCGCUGUUUAUAGCUGCAUUUGGUUUGAAUGAAUCAAGUUGAUGGGUUCCCCAGCAAUUCUCAAUGUGUGCUAGCGAGACAGUCGUCCCGAUCUCACAUUAGUGGUUUUGUUGCAGAUCUCUAAUCACGGCUUGUUUAAAUUUUUCCAUCUAUUACGAUCUCAAAUCAGGCAAGAUUACCCGCUGAACUUAAGCAUAUCAAUAAGCGGAGGAAAAGAAACUAACAAGGAUUCCCCUAGUAACGGCGAGUGAAGCGGGAAUAGCUCAAAUUUAAAAUCUGGCGUAAAAGCCCGAAUUGUAAACUAAAGAGGCGUUAUCGGACAUGAAUCUGUUGUACAAGUUCCCUGGAAUGGGACAUCACAGAGGGUGAGAAUCCCGUCUGGACAAUGGAUAAGUGGCCAUAUGAGGCGUUCUC